Molecule: ribosomal RNA, 253 nt
Filed under: uncultured bacterium
Lineage: Bacteria
Description: partial 16S ribosomal RNA
Rfam family: Bacterial small subunit ribosomal RNA
Source: RNAcentral
UACGGAGGGUGCAAGCGUUGUCCGGAUUUAUUGGGUUUAAAGGGUGCGUAGGCGGCAGAUUAAGUCAGCGGUGAAAUUCCACAGCUCAACUGUGGAACUGCCAUUGAUACUGGUUUGCUUGAGUACAGAUGAGGUAGGCGGAAUUGACAGUGUAGCGGUGAAAUGCUUAGAUAUUGUCAAGAACACCUAUUGCGAAGGCAGCUCACUACACGAAUAUUGACACUGAGGCACGAAAGCGUGGGGAUCAAACAGG